GGAAUUGUGGCUCAGUGGCAGAGCACUUGCCUUAUUUGUAUGAGGCACUGAGUUCAAUCCUCAGAACCA
Molecule: transfer RNA, 69 nt
Filed under: Marmota monax (woodchuck)
Lineage: Eukaryota; Metazoa; Chordata; Mammalia; Rodentia; Sciuridae
Rfam family: tRNA
About the family: Transfer RNA (tRNA) molecules are approximately 80 nucleotides in length. Their secondary structure includes four short double-helical elements and three loops (D, anti-codon, and T loops).
Source: Rfam by way of RNAcentral